GAGUCGGACCUGCCCGGUGAAUAAUUUUUAACGGCCGCGGUACUCUGACCGUGCAAAGGUAGCAUAAUCAUUUGCCCUAUAAUUCAGGGCUAGUAUGAAUGGUUUGACGUGAACAAAACUGUCUCUACAUAAUUUUUCAGAAUUUGAUUUCUAGGUGAAGAAACCUAGAUAUUAUUGAUAGACAAGAAGACCCUAUUGAGCUUUAAAAAAGUAGGUUGAAAAUAAUGUAUACAUGUUUUAAAUAUUAAUCUGCCUAAAAUUUUGGUUGGGGCGACUAUGGAACAAACAAAGCUUCUUUACACCUAUAAAAACUUACAGGUUUUGAUCCAAGCAUUUUGAUCAAUGAAAUUAGUUACCAUAGGGAUAACAGCAUAAUUCUCUUUGAGAGCUCUUAUCGAAAAGAGAGUUUGUGACCUCGAUGUUGGACUAGAAUAUCCUAAAGAUGCAGCAGUCUUUAAAGGUUGGUC
This 467-nucleotide ribosomal RNA is filed under the name Luria tessellata. RNAcentral describes it as "partial 16S large subunit ribosomal RNA". It matches the Rfam family "Bacterial large subunit ribosomal RNA", at positions 1850 to 2577 of the family's 2925-position model. The record is from RNAcentral. Lineage: Eukaryota; Metazoa; Mollusca; Gastropoda; Littorinimorpha; Cypraeidae.